This 788-nucleotide ribosomal RNA is filed under the name uncultured organism. RNAcentral's name for it is "bacterial SSU rRNA". It matches the Rfam family "Bacterial small subunit ribosomal RNA", at positions 1 to 794 of the family's 1533-position model. The record is from RNAcentral.
UUAGAGUUUGAUCCUGGCUCAGGAUGAACGCUAGCGGCAGGCCUAACACAUGCAAGUCGAGGGGUAACAGGGAAGCUUGCUUCCGCUGACGACCGGCGCACGGGUGCGUAACGCGUAUACAACUUACCCUCAACUGGAGGAUAGCCUGGAGAAAUUCGGAUUAAUACUCCAUAGUAUCUCCACCUCACAUGUGGAGGAGAUUAAAGUUUCGGCGGUUGAGGAUAGGUAUGCGUCCUAUUAGCUUGUUGGUGAGGUAACGGCUCACCAAGGCUGCGAUAGGUAGGGGGCCUGAGAGGGUAAUCCCCCACACUGGUACUGAGACACGGACCAGACUCCUACGGGAGGCAGCAGUGAGGAAUAUUGGACAAUGGGCGAAAGCCUGAUCCAGCCAUGCCGCGUGCAGGAUGACGGCCCUACGGGUUGUAAACUGCUUUUAUAUGGGAAUAAACCCCCCUACGUGUAGGGGGCUGAAGGUACCAUACGAAUAAGGAUCGGCUAACUCCGUGCCAGCAGCCGCGGUAAUACGGAGGAUCCAAGCGUUAUCCGGAUUUAUUGGGUUUAAAGGGUCCGCAGCGGGCUUUUAAGUCAGUGGUGAAAUCCUGCAGCUUAACUGUAGAACUGCCAUUGAUACUGGAAGUCUUGAGUAUAGUUGAGUGGGCGGAAUGUGUCAUGUAGCGGUGAAAUGCAUAGAUAUGACACAGACACCAAUUGCGUAGCAGCUCACUAAGCUAAUACUGACGCUCAGGACGAAAGCGUGGGGAGCGAACAGGAUUAGAUACCCUGGUAGU